AAAUAAAGAAGUAAACAAAUAAAUACAGGAGUAAGGAGAGGGCUUAGCCUUUACUGGAAGAUCUCUAGAAGGCUCUCAGAAUCCAGUGGAGAGCUGCACCCCCAGGCAGGGAGGAAGCAGGGCAGCUGGCGGCCUGAGCAGGGUCGGUGGCCCUUCUGUCCACAGCACUUGGUGCCAACUCUCAUCUUCAGUGGUUCAAAGCUUCGAAACCUCUAGAAAAAGAAGUCAGAGAUCCCCACUCGGUCAGGUGUACAUCCUGGACCAAUCAGCUUUUGCCCACAGGCCAGGGGCAGGAGCAGACACAAGGAUGCCAGGAAGGGGUAGGACAAGAAGUUCCUACAGAGAGAGGGUCAUUGUGAGCCAAGAAAGUCAAUGAUGAUAUCAGAAAAGGUGACAGAGAGGGACCAUGAAAUCUUCCUACAUGUGGGGAGUCAGCAAACACAGAAAUCUAACCUGACUGCUGGCGGGCAUUUGGGCCCCCGUGAGGUAGACCUGUCUGACCCCAUCCAGCCUCACCGGAAAUCUCACUGUCUCACCUGGGGGAGCUGGAGGGAGAGAUGCUGAACACAAAGCCUCGGAGACCUUCCCAAGCACAGCUAAGGCAGUUUUAGCUUCUACCCCUUACCAGAUGAGUCUCCUUCCCCCAAACCCCCAAAGUUAUGACUAAACUC
Molecule: long non-coding RNA, 671 nt
Filed under: Felis catus (domestic cat)
Lineage: Eukaryota; Metazoa; Chordata; Mammalia; Carnivora; Felidae
Description: lncRNA (ENSFCAG00000053131.1)
Source: RNAcentral